AUGGUCACCACACCUGUUCUGGCGCUGCCGGACUUCGCGCGACCGUUCACGAUCGAGACAGACGCAUGUGACACGGGCGUGGGCACGGUGCUCGCGCAGGACGAACACCCCGUGGCAUACUUCAGCAAGGCAUUGGGUGUGCACAAUCAAAAGCUCUCCACCUAUGAGAAGGAGUUCCUCGCCGUGAUGAUGGACGUUGACAAGUGGCGCCAGUACUUGCAGCGCGGCCCCUUCGACAUCAUCACAGAUCACAAGUCACUCUGCAACCUUGGCGAACAGCACCUGGAGACAGAGCUCUAGCGCAAGGCCAUGGCAAAACUGGUGGGGCUGCAAUUUCGCUUCCAGCACAGAAGGGGACUGGACAACGGCGCCGCCGACGCACUCUCACGCGUGGGCAAGCAGUUUGAGGUGGUCGCGCUCUCCGUGUGCCAGCCAGCCUGGGUGCAGGAGGUGGCCAAUUCCUACGUCACCGACGCCGACGCCCAAGAACGGCUACAACAACAAGCGGUGCACAGUCCGGACGAUCAAGGCUACGAGCUCUACCACGGCAUCAUCCGGCGCCAAGGUCGCCUCUGGAUUGGGGCCAAUUCGGCUCUGCGUACCAAGCUCAUCGCCGUGCUGCAUUGCAGUGCGGUGGGCGGUCACUCCGGCUCCACCGCCACCUACCAGCACGCGCGCAAACACUUCGACUAG
This 693-nucleotide ribosomal RNA is filed under the name Triticum aestivum (bread wheat). Its description in RNAcentral is "partial small subunit ribosomal RNA". The record is from RNAcentral. Lineage: Eukaryota; Viridiplantae; Streptophyta; Magnoliopsida; Poales; Poaceae.